RNAcentral lists this ribosomal RNA (253 nucleotides) under uncultured bacterium. RNAcentral describes it as "partial 16S ribosomal RNA". It matches the Rfam family "Bacterial small subunit ribosomal RNA", at positions 524 to 776 of the family's 1533-position model. The record is from RNAcentral.
UACAGAGGUGGCAAGCGUUACUCGGAUUUAUUGGGUGUAAAGGGCAAGUAGGCGUCUUAACAAGUUAGGAGUGAAAUCCUGCAGCUUAACUGCAGAACUGCUUUUAAAACUGUUGAGAUUGAGUUUGGGAGAGGAAAGCGGAAUUCUCGGUGUAAGAGUGAAAUCUGUAGAUAUCGAGAGGAACACCAGUGGCGAAGGCGGCUUUCUGGCCCAGUACUAACGCUGAAUUGCGAAAGCUAGGGGAGCAAACAGG